This 1508-nucleotide ribosomal RNA is filed under the name Streptococcus sanguinis. RNAcentral describes it as "bacterial SSU rRNA". It matches the Rfam family "Bacterial small subunit ribosomal RNA". Lineage: Bacteria; Bacillati; Bacillota; Bacilli; Lactobacillales; Streptococcaceae. The record is from RNAcentral. RNAcentral also lists the same sequence under 1 other name.
AGAGUUUGAUCCUGGCUCAGACGAACGCUGGCGGCGUGCCUAAUACAUGCAAGUAGAACGCUGAAGAGAGGAGCUUGCUCUUCUUGGAUGAGUUGCGAACGGGUGAGUAACGCGUAGGUAACCUGCCUGGUAGCGGGGGAUAACUAUUGGAAACGAUAGCUAAUACCGCAUGAUAUUAAUUAUCGCAUGAUAAUCAAUUGAAAGAUGCAAUUGCAUCACUACCAGAUGGACCUGCGUUGUAUUAGCUAGUUGGUGAGGUAACGGCUCACCAAGGCGACGAUACAUAGCCGACCUGAGAGGGUGAUCGGCCACACUGGGACUGAGACACGGCCCAGACUCCUACGGGAGGCAGCAGUAGGGAAUCUUCGGCAAUGGGGGGAACCCUGACCGAGCAACGCCGCGUGAGUGAAGAAGGUUUUCGGAUCGUAAAGCUCUGUUGUAAGAGAAGAACGGGUGUGAGAGUGGAAAGUUCACACUGUGACGGUAUCUUACCAGAAAGGGACGGCUAACUACGUGCCAGCAGCCGCGGUAAUACGUAGGUCCCGAGCGUUGUCCGGAUUUAUUGGGCGUAAAGCGAGCGCAGGCGGUUAGAUAAGUCUGAAGUUAAAGGCUGUGGCUUAACCAUAGUAUGCUUUGGAAACUGUUUAACUUGGGUGCAGAAGGGGAGAGUGGAAUUCCAUGUGUAGCGGUGAAAUGCGUAGAUAUAUGGAGGAACACCGGUGGCGAAAGCGGCUCUCUGGUCUGUAACUGACGCUGAGGCUCGAAAGCGUGGGGAGCAAACAGGAUUAGAUACCCUGGUAGUCCACGCCGUAAACGAUGAGUGCUAGGUGUUAGGCCCUUUCCGGGGCUUAGUGCCGCAGCUAACGCAUUAAGCACUCCGCCUGGGGAGUACGACCGCAAGGUUGAAACUCAAAGGAAUUGACGGGGGCCCGCACAAGCGGUGGAGCAUGUGGUUUAAUUCGAAGCAACGCGAAGAACCUUACCAGGUCUUGACAUCCCUCUGACCGCUCUAGAGAUAGAGUUUUCCUUCGGGACAGAGAUGACAGGUGGUGCAUGGUUGUCGUCAGCUCGUGUCGUGAGAUGUUGGGUCAAGUCCCGCAACGAGCGCAACCCCUAUUGUUAGUUGCCAUCAUUGAGUUGGGCACUCUAGCGAGACUGCCGGUAAUAAACCGGAGGAAGGUGGGGAUGACGUCAAAUCAUCAUGCCCCUUAUGACCUGGGCUACACACGUGCUACAAUGGCUGGUACAACGAGUCGCAAGCCGGUGACGGCAAGCUAAUCUCUGAAAGCCAGUCUCAGUUCGGAUUGUAGGCUGCAACUCGCCUACAUGAAGUCGGAAUCGCUAGUAAUCGCGGAUCAGCACGCCGCGGUGAAUACGUUCCCGGGCCUUGUACACACCGCCCGUCACACCACGAGAGUUUGUAACACCCGAAGUCGGUGAGGUAACCGUAAGGAGCCAGCCGCCUAAGGUGGGAUAGAUGAUUGGGGUGAAGUCGUAACAAGGUAACC